UACGUAGGUGGCAAGCGUUGUCCGGAUUUACUGGGCGUAAAGGGCGUGCAGGCGGUCUGUUAAGUGCAGGGUGAAAGCUCCCGGCUCAACUGGGAGAGGUCCUUGCAUACUGGCGGACUUGAGGGGGGUAGAGGAAAGUGGAAUUCCCGGUGUAGUGGUGAUAUGCGUAGAUAUCGAGAGGAACACCUGUGGCGAAGGCGGCUUUCUGGGCCCUACCUGACGCUGAGACGCGAAAGCGUGGGGAGCGAACCGG
Molecule: ribosomal RNA, 253 nt
Filed under: uncultured bacterium
Lineage: Bacteria
Description: partial 16S ribosomal RNA
Rfam family: Bacterial small subunit ribosomal RNA
Source: RNAcentral